GCAGAAACCUCCACAGCGGCGAGCAAGAGGGGAUUUGGGGGAUUGAGGGCAGGCACCUGCGAUGCCCCCGCAGCCAUCUGGACAGGGGACUCGGGCAGAGACUGCCACUCAGGGCUGCCCCGCAUGCAAGAGACCCUCGGCUCCAGCUCCUGUGGGAGCUUCCCACGGACUCUCCGACUCCAGCCCUUGGCCCCAACCUCUGAGCCCUCAGAAAGAGGCACUCUGACCGGUCCCACUAAGGAGGUCUUACUCUGCCUCAGUUUCCCUCUCCUCACACCCCUGUGGAUGCUGGAAAAAUAAGGCACUCUGUGCCAAUGGGCAAGUGCAAUAGGAACACAGACCUCAGAACCAGAUCGGCAAGAUGGGAAGAAAAGAGAGGGUUCUCAAGGCAACUCCCAGGCAGGCCCCGGCCUCAGUC
Molecule: long non-coding RNA, 418 nt
Organism: Sciurus carolinensis (gray squirrel)
Lineage: Eukaryota; Metazoa; Chordata; Mammalia; Rodentia; Sciuridae
Exons: 3
Source: RefSeq, a predicted model, not a curated record